This is a long non-coding RNA of Lingula anatina, 496 nucleotides long. Lineage: Eukaryota; Metazoa; Brachiopoda; Lingulata; Lingulida; Lingulidae. The record is from RefSeq and is a predicted model, not a curated record.
UUGCCUACUCCAGCAGAGGUCAGGUCAGUUGAUAUUAUUCGUGCAAUAGUAGGCUGGAACAGUCAGAGGCAAGGAACUCUUACGCCACUCCACAAUACUCCGCAGGACGGAUAGGUCUAUUACUCCACAGUUGAAAUCCCAUUCAGGUUUCAAGAAGGUGUAUCAUCAAACUGAACUUUGCAUUUGGGAUCUUAGGGAGACAUGGAAUGCAGCUGCAUGAGGUAGCAGAGCAAAAAGAAUAAAUAAAAAGCCACAUACCAGGAGCAUUAUACUAUUAUAUCAUCAGGGUGAGAGAGAAAGAGAGAAGAUGGAGAGGUUGACGCAGGCAGGAGUCAUCUUCCUCAUUCUCCAGAGCCUGCUCAUUAAAGGUGGGAGGAGUGAAAUGCCCUUCAUCACAGCCCACGCCUGCGAGGGUUCCUACUUGGACCUGAAGUGUUCGAAUGAGACCCUGGUGCUGCACAUUAUACGGGCCAACUAUGGCCGCUUGUCCAACUCA